CUGGGAAGCAGAUCCUGUGUAAUUCCCAUCAGCUAAACUGACUGUGUUUCUAGAUAAAGCCACUAUACUGAUUAUGAAUGUCCUCCAUCCCAACAACUCCCACAAGAAAUACUAUAUACCUCCAACUGAGAGGCCUGGAAAAGAUGUGGAAAUCCAUCCGGACAUUAAAACUCCAGAUGUUGUUUUUGAAGCAGGGGCAACUCAAUACCAGGAUAUGGCUAAAUGCCUUUUCAACACGUACAAUACAUCCAAGAAAAACACUGCUACAAAAUGCAGUUCUGACUGAGCAAGAAAGAGAAAGAACGAGAGAAGGAGCUCAGCUAGGAAACGUAUGGCAUGAAGGGUUAACAACUUGGACACUUUCCAAGA
This is a long non-coding RNA of Osmerus eperlanus (European smelt), 369 nucleotides long. RefSeq lists it as uncharacterized. NCBI's taxonomy places the organism in Eukaryota, Metazoa, Chordata, Actinopteri, Osmeriformes, Osmeridae. The record is from RefSeq and is a predicted model, not a curated record. The transcript is spliced from 3 exons.